CAGUCUUGACUUCCCCGUGGUCCGUGAUUUCAGGUUUUCCCCAGAUGAGGAUCCUGGCAAGAAACACCAGUCACUGUCUCCCCCACCCCCCCGGCCAAUAUUACUGUUGGAACUGUACAUGGCCUCACUAAAAGAGCUCCUACAGACAUCACAGACCUCUCUGUCCUUUCUCUUUUCCGUUCUAGAUAGAGCCAAAGAAAAGAAGAGAGAAUAAGAAUAACUGGUCUUCGUUUUGGGAGCAGGCAACUUGAUGCAUAUGAUGUGAAUGUACUCCAAGUAGAGUGCUGGCUUGCUGUCCCGCUGCGAAUCCUUCAUGGAAGGCUAGCUGCCUUCAGAAUUAAGUCUAAACCAUUAACUGCAUAGAUUCUGGACUGGCCUCAGAAGAUGAGGAUUUUUCUGAAUGAAAUGCAAUCGAUUGCAGCUGAAUGAAGUGCAAUAUGAGUGGUCUGAUGCAGAACUGAAACUGCCGACACCAAAACCUUCAGGGACAACUGGCUGGGAGUCCUGGUGCGGGCACCAGCGCCUCCAGCUGUUGCUUUUGAGUCAUCAACAUCAGUUGUGAGAAGACAUUUAAGGUUUUCUCAUCAGUGCCAUUAUUGAUGUCUUGGCCUGGGUCGUCUUUGGCUGUGAAUUUGCAAAUUUGUGCAUUGCCCAGUAUUUAGAAGCUUCCCUGGCUUUGUAUCUCCCAGAUAUCAAGAGCAACCCACAGCUCAUCUCUACUCGUGAUAACCAAAAUGUCUGUAUCAUUAUCGAUUAUCUUCUUUGGAGGAAAAAAAAAUCUCACUGAAAACCAUGUGGUCUCAAUGGUUCCUAUUAGACUG
This 821-nucleotide long non-coding RNA is filed under the name Heterocephalus glaber (naked mole-rat). Its description in RNAcentral is "lncRNA (ENSHGLG00000044884.1)". Lineage: Eukaryota; Metazoa; Chordata; Mammalia; Rodentia; Bathyergidae. The record is from RNAcentral.